RNAcentral lists this ribosomal RNA (301 nucleotides) under uncultured bacterium. Its description in RNAcentral is "partial 16S ribosomal RNA". It matches the Rfam family "Bacterial small subunit ribosomal RNA", at positions 509 to 809 of the family's 1533-position model. The record is from RNAcentral.
CAGUCGCCGCGGUAAUACGAAGGGGGCUAGCGUUGUUCGGAAUCACUGGGCGUAAAGGGUGCGUAGGCGGGAUCUUAAGUCAGGGGUGAAAUCCCGAGGCUCAACCUCGGAACUGCCUUUGAUACUGGGGUCCUUGAGUCCGGAAGAGGUGAGUGGAACUGCGAGUGUAGAGGUGAAAUUCGUAGAUAUUCGCAAGAACACCGGUGGCGAAGGCGGCUCACUGGUCCGGAACUGACGCUGAGGCACGACAGCGUGGGGAGCAAACAGGAUUAGAUACCCCCGUAGUCCCUGUCUCUUAUAA